CAUCGUGCCGCCGUUUCUUCUCUGAUUGCUACACGCGUGAGUGGUGCUUGCUGCGCGCGAUUGGCAUCCGCCACGAAACGGGUCAGGCGAUGGUCGCACCAAUGGAUCUCUACUAAGAUCGAACUUCCUUCGAUUUUUCGGGGAUCUAGAAGCCCGGCUAUUUGGCCCUUCUUCUCCGGCGACGGCAUCGUGCAGAUGGCGUUCCUACAGCAGCUUGGGUUUAGGACAUGCGGGCCUGCGCGAUGCGCGCACCUGUGGAUCCCUGCAAAUUGCCGGCUUAGUUCGAUUUCGCAUGGAUUUGGAAGCCCGCCGACUUUCUACCCGUCUUCCCCGGCGCCGGUGCGGUGUUACACCUGUUUGUCUCCUCUAAUCAUCUAUUCUGGUUCUACCAUAUAUCUUGCCUAUAAUCGGAUUUCUCCCUUUCAUUUAACCUGCUCAUUAUUUUUUUGUGAGGGUUAAUUUGUCUCCACAAUCCACGCGUGCUGAUUUUGUGGCGUUAGCAUGACUCUUAAGUGCUGCUCCCACUUGCCUUCCAUCCGGUUAUGUUUCACUGAUGUGAUAGGCAGAUAAUUGAUGCCUGACGACAGCGGCAUGGCCAUAGAGGUCGUUCAUCUUGUCCUGCAAUGCUGCCUAUUCGUGGUACACAUGUUAUGUUGUCCGUUCGUCGCCGCUUCAUUGAUGUGUGAGCGCCAGGCUUGCUUCUCCUGCACCUUUGAUCUCUGGUAUAAAAUUAUUGCAUUGUCAUAUUGAUCCUCCUGGUCCGUGUUGGUUCAUGGAGGAAUUGGGGAUCGAUAUUUACUUCACAGUGGUGAGAAAAUGACUUUUUGCUAGCUAUAUGGAGCUGAUCUUGCAUCUUGACAAUUUAUCAUGUUAUAUUGGUUGUUUCCUAGCCUAGGCUUACCUCAAUUCGUGUUCUAAUUUGUGUUCCUGUUGAGUUUGUAGAGACGUCUAAGAUUACCAAAAAUUUCCGAUGGUGUGGUUUACUGGCUUGUGAGCACCUCUUUGAUGUGCUGAUUUGGGGACAUGUAUGAUCUCUCUUUGUAUUGUCCUAUAGUUUGAUGCGCGAAACAGUUUGACAGUUUUUUCUUUUGCACUGUAUAUAUUUGGGUCUAUUGGAACAUACAAGUAUAUUUAAUUUUUCACCUUUGGCAGUGUUUAUUUGAUGUCGAUAGUUGGCGUGUCUUCAUCUGUUAUUGGAGCAUGAAGUUUCUACUUGGGAGGAAGAUUUUCAUAGGUUAAAUUUUGAAUACAUGUAAUUCUUGGGUAGAGGAUUCCCUAACAUGAGAGAUUAAACCUAUUGUCAAGAGAGUUGAAAUCGAUUCAACUUUUGGACCUGUAGCGUGGGAAGCCCGUUAACAUGUGAGAGUGCAUCUUUGGCAGGAUCGAGAUCAGCUGAGGCAUGGUCGGCACCUCAAGGCUGUUAAGGGCUCCAACAACCUCUGUACGACCAUAGAAGCUCCUUUGCAAGAUGGAGAAAAGCCUCAUCUCUUCCAGGACUUUUGUACAUUGCUUAUUUGAGGGAAUCUCAAGACUACAAGAGUUCUUGAUUUUUCAAUCAGAAAUUAAUCCAUUGGAAAAUUUGUUGGCAGCAUUCAAGACCUUGGAGACAUUGAAGUGGCUGUUAUGGGAUUUCUUGGAUGUUUCCAUCAAUUUGUUCGCGGUGAGCUAUUUGUAGCCAGUUGACAAUAUAACUAUACAUACAUGCUAAGGGUCAAAGGAUUUUUUAUACUUUUGCUGAAAGUAGGAAAAUUUACAUAUCUUUGUUACUUUGGUGCCGAAAUCUCAUGAAAUUUGUAUGCAACUUA
Lolium perenne is the source of this 1805-nucleotide long non-coding RNA. RefSeq lists it as uncharacterized. Lineage: Eukaryota; Viridiplantae; Streptophyta; Magnoliopsida; Poales; Poaceae. The record is from RefSeq and is a predicted model, not a curated record.